RNAcentral lists this ribosomal RNA (254 nucleotides) under uncultured bacterium. RNAcentral describes it as "partial 16S ribosomal RNA". It matches the Rfam family "Bacterial small subunit ribosomal RNA", at positions 524 to 776 of the family's 1533-position model. The record is from RNAcentral.
UACGGGGGGAGCAAGCGUUGUUCGGAUUUACUGGGCGUAAAGGGCGCGUAGGCGGUCAGCACAAGUCAGUUGUGAAAUCUCCGGGCUUAACUCGGAAAGGUCAACUGAUACUGUGCGACUAGAGUGCAGAAGGGGCAACUGGAAUUCUCGGUGUAGCGGUGAAAUGCGUAGAUAUCGAGAGGAACACCUGCGGCGAAGGCGGGUUGCUGGGCUGACACUGACGCUGAUGCGCGAAAGCAUGGGGAGCGAACAGG